Perca fluviatilis (European perch) is the source of this 362-nucleotide long non-coding RNA. RefSeq lists it as uncharacterized. NCBI's taxonomy places the organism in Eukaryota, Metazoa, Chordata, Actinopteri, Perciformes, Percidae. The transcript is spliced from 3 exons. The record is from RefSeq and is a predicted model, not a curated record.
GUGAAGGAGGAGUAUGUGGUGGAGAAGGUUUUGGAACGCAGAGUGGUGAAGGGAAGAGUAGAGUUUCUGCUGAAAUGGAAGGGGUUCUCAGAUGAGGAUAACACAUGGGAGCCACAAGACAACCUGGACUGCCCCGACCUUAUCACCGAGUACAUGCAGAAACACAAGGAGAAGGAGGAGAAGAAGAAGGAGGAGAAACGGAGAGGAGGAGAGGGACCCAAACAUCACCACUGUCAGCACUGUGACAAAUUCUUCACAACAUCUGGAUAUUUAAAGAUUCAUCAGAGAGUUCACACUGGAGAGAAUCUACACAGCUGUGAUCAAUGUGGGGCAGCUUUCACACUACAGAGUAACCUAAAAAA